CAAACAUGGAAUGGAUUAUUCUGGAGAAAAUUAAUGAAAAUGUUGGAUGGAGGGGAACUUGAAGCAGAUGCAUAUCUUUCCCUGACCACACUGAAGUGAAAUAGGAAUAGCAGAAAUGGGAAGAGUUGGAAUAAUACAGAAAAAAUUACUGAAUAAUUAUAGAGCCUCUCCUCUAAAUGUGAUGAUAUUCAAGAGGGAACAGUGGGCUUUGAGAGUCUUAUCAGCAGAUUCAUUGAUCUUGCUUUGUACCUUUACCGGGAUCCAUAUUCAAGAGAACUUCAAGAUUGUAUUUAAUACAAGAGUUUUUGAGAAGAGCUUUCCCCUGUUCCAGAAUUUCUGGAAGACUAACUUGGAGUUUA
This 359-nucleotide long non-coding RNA is filed under the name Gallus gallus (chicken). The record is from RNAcentral. Lineage: Eukaryota; Metazoa; Chordata; Aves; Galliformes; Phasianidae.